This 598-nucleotide ribosomal RNA is filed under the name uncultured marine eukaryote. RNAcentral describes it as "SSU rRNA". It matches the Rfam family "Eukaryotic small subunit ribosomal RNA", at positions 1 to 598 of the family's 1831-position model. The record is from RNAcentral.
AACCUGGUUGAUCCUGCCAGUAGUCAUAUGCUUGUCUCAAAGAUUAAGCCAUGCAUGUCUCAGUGUAAGCUUUUAUACGGCGAAACUGCGAAUGGCCAAUUAAAACAAUUAUAGUUCAUCUGAUGGUCAUUCAUGACAUGGAUAACUGCGGUAAUUCUAGAGCUAAUGCAUGCGCCCAAACCCGACUUUGUGGAAGGGUUGUGUUUAUCAGAUACAGAGCCAACCCAGGCUAUGCCUGGUAUUGUGGCGAUUCAUAAUAACCGAACGAAUCGCAUGGCUUCAGCUGGCGAUGAAUCACUCAAGUUUCUGACCUAUCAGCUUCCGACGGUAGGGUACUGGCCUACCGUGGCAAUGACGGGUAACGGAGAAUUAGGGUUCGACUCAGGAGAGGAAGCCUGAGAAACGGCUACCACAUCUAAGGAAGGCCGCAGGCGCGCAAAUUACCCAAUCCUGACACAGGGAGGUGGUGACAAGAAAUAACAACACAGGGCAUCCAUGUCUUGUAACUGGAAUGGGUAGAAUAUAUGAAUCCCUUUCCGAGUAUCAAUUGGAGGGCAAGUCUGGUGCCAGCAGCCGCGGUAAUUCCAGCUCCAAUAGC